This 515-nucleotide ribosomal RNA is filed under the name uncultured bacterium. RNAcentral's name for it is "partial 16S ribosomal RNA". It matches the Rfam family "Bacterial small subunit ribosomal RNA", at positions 28 to 523 of the family's 1533-position model. The record is from RNAcentral.
GAUGAACGCUGGCGGCGUGCCUAAUACAUGCAAGUCGAGCGAAUGGAUUAAGAGCUUGCUCUUAUGAAGUUAGCGGCGGACGGGUGAGUAACACGUGGGUAACCUGCCCAUAAGACUGGGAUAACUCCGGGAAACCGGGGCUAAUACCGGAUAACAUUUUGAACCGCAUGGUUCGAAAUUGAAAGGCGGCUUGGGCUGUCACUUAUGGAUGGACCCUCGUCGCAUUAUCUAGUUGGUGAGGUAACGGCUCACCAAGGCAACGAUGCGUAGCCGACCUGAGAGGGUGAUCGGCCACACUGGGACUGAGACACGGCCCAGACUCCUACGGGAGGCAGCAGUAGGGAAUCUUCCGCAAUGGACGAAAGUCUGACGGAGCAACGCCGCGUGAGUGAUGAAGGCUUUCGGGUCGUAAAACUCUGUUGUUAGGGAAGAACAAGUGCUAGUUGAAUAAGCUGGCACCUUGACGGUACCUAACCAGAAAGCCACGGCUAACUACGUGCCAGCCGCCGCGGUAA